This 1381-nucleotide long non-coding RNA is filed under the name Salmo salar (Atlantic salmon). RNAcentral's name for it is "lncRNA (ENSSSAG00000107303.1)". The record is from RNAcentral. Lineage: Eukaryota; Metazoa; Chordata; Actinopteri; Salmoniformes; Salmonidae.
CCAGUUAUUAAUUAAUCAAUACACCCAGUCACUACAAAGAUACAGGUGUUCUUCAUAACUCAGUUGCCGGCGAGGAAUGAAACCGGUCAGGGAUUUCACCAUGAGGCCAAUGGUGACUUUAAAACAAUUACAGAGUUUAAUGGCUGUGAUAGGAGAACACUGAGGAUGGAUCAACAACAUUGUAGUUACUCCACAAUACUAACCUAAAUGACAGAGUGAAAACAAGGAAGCCUGUACAGAAUAAAAAUAUUCCAAAACAUGCAUCCUGUUUGGAAAUCAACUUUGGAGGUUUGUCAGACUGUGUAACGUUGACGCUGUGAGUCGAGAAACAGGUGCAGGUAAAAUGUUUAACAAAACAACAAACAUGAAACAAGACAGCGUAACAGUGGCGAGAUAGCAUGAAAACAGGAAACAAUACCGACUGAGGAAUGAACAUAAGGGAGGGUUGUAUAAAGGUAAUGAGGAAGGUAAUGGAGUCCAGGUGUGAAUCAUGAUGAUCUGCAGCUGUGUGUAAUGAAGGAUGCCAGGUGUGCUAAAUGAAGGAUGCCAGGUGUGCGUAAUGAAGGAUGCCAGGUAAUGAAGGAUGCUAGGUGUGGGUAAUGAUGAUGCCAGGUGUGGGUAAUGAUGAUGCCAGGUGUGUGUAAUGAAGGAUGCCAGGUGUGCAAAAUGAAGGAUGCCAGGUAGCGUAAUGAAGGAUGCCAGGUGUGUGUAAUGAAGGAUGCCAGGUGUGGGUAAUGAUGAUGCCAGGUGCGCGUAAUGAAGGAUGCCAGGUAAUGAAGGAUGCCAGGUGUGCGUAAUGAAGGAUGCCAGGUGUGUGUAAUGAAGGAUGCCAGGUGUGUGUAAUGAUGAAUCCCAGGACCGGUGGUUAGUAUUCUGGCGACGUUGCACGCCGGAGGGGAGGAGCAGGAGUAGACGUGACAGACUGCACUCUUAAAAUUGUUUCAAUCUUUGAAGCAUCUGGCUUGUCCAGUGUUUCCUGCGCAGAGAAAAUAAAGUGUUAUAUCUGCAAAAAUGUACCUCAGCUUCGUCACAGACUGGUCUUCCCUGACUGCCUGACCCUGCUGAGACCCCUGUUACCUUGGUGUACAUUUAUACAUAAUAUUAUCCAAGAAGAGACUCAACGGUUCAAUAAUUGAAAUCACCACUAUUCACAGAUUCCAGACCGUACCUUUAAGCUUAACUUCUCUAGGGCCGGCGGGACGAAAUCGUCCCACCUACGUAACAGCCAGUGGAAUCCUGUGGCGCGUUAUUCAAAUACCUUAGAAAUGCUAUUACUUCAAUUUCUCAAACAUAUGACUAUUUUACACCAUUUUAAAGACAAGACUCUCGUUAAUCUAACCACACUGUCCGAUUUCAAAAAGGCUUUACAACGAAAGCAAAA